GAUGAAGAACGCAGUGAAAUGCGAUAAGUAGUGUGAAUUGCAGAAUUUAGUGAAUCAUCGAAUCUUUGAACGCACAUUGCGCCCUUUGGUAUUCCUUAGGGCAUGCCUGUUCGAGCGUCAUCUACACCCUCAAGCACAGCUUGGUGAUGGGCGCCUGUCCCGCCCCCCACGGGGGCGCGGACUCGCCUCAAAUACAUUGGCGGCCGGCGACCUGGCUUCGAGCGCAGCAGAAACGCGUACUCGGGGACCGGGCGCCCGCUCCCAGAAGCCAACCCACCCAGUUUGACCUCGGAUCAGGUAGGGAUACCCGCUGAACUUAAGCAUAUCAAUAAGCGGAGGA
RNAcentral lists this unclassified non-coding RNA (340 nucleotides) under soil metagenome. RNAcentral describes it as "partial contains 5.8S ribosomal RNA, internal transcribed spacer 2, and large subunit ribosomal RNA". The stretch from base 1 to 120 matches the Rfam family "5.8S ribosomal RNA", at positions 35 to 154 of the family's 154-position model. The record is from RNAcentral.